GGUCAAGUUACUAAGGGCGCAUGGUGGAUGCCUAGGCGCUGGAAGGCGAUGAAGGGCGUAGGAGGCUGCGAUAAGCCUGGGGUAACUGCCAACCAAGUGUUGAUCCCAGGAUUCCCGAAUGGGGCAACCCGAGCCGAGCGGGCAACCGUCUCGGCCCACCGUCAUCUGAAUGCAUAGGGUGACGGAGCCAACCCGGGGAACUGAAACAUCUAAGUACCCGGAGGAGAAGAAAGCAAACGCGACUCCCCAAGUAGCGGCGAGCGAACGGGGAUCAGCCCAAACCCGCCUUCGGGCGGGGGUUGUGGGCCCGGAGCGUCGGAGUCGACAAAGGCCGGCCUAGCCGAAGGAUCUGGAAAGGUCCGCUACAAAGGGUGAAAGCCCCGUAGGCGACAGGCGCGGGCCCUCCGUCCGGUGACCCAGAGUAGCACGGUGCUCGUGGAACGCCGUGCGAAGCAGGGAGGCCCAUCUCCCAAGGCUAAGUACUCUCCAGCGACCGAUAGUGAACCAGUAAGGUGACUGAAAGGUGAAAAGAACCCCGUCGAGGGGAGUGAAAAGUACCUGAAACCAUGUGCUUACAAGCUGUCGGAGCCCUAUGGCCGCCGCAAGGCGGCAACGGGUGACGGCGUACCUUUUGCAUAAUGGACCGGCGAGUUAGUCUGUGCGGCAAGGUUAAGCCCUUCAGGGGCGGAGCCGAAGCGAAAGCGAGUGUUCAAUGCGCGACGAUAGAGUCGCACGGACUAGACACGAAACCUCAGUGAUCUACCCAUGGCCAGGUUGAAGGCCCGGUAAAACGGGCUGGAGGACCGAACCCACGAACGUUGAAAAGUUAGGGGAUGAGCUGUGGGGAGGAGUGAAAGUCUAAUCAAACUGGGAGAUAUCUUGUUCUCCCCGAAAUAGCUUUUGGGCUAGCCUCGGGUCACUACGUCACGGGGGUAGAGCGACUGAAUGAAAAUAGGGACCCACCGGUCGCCUAUUUCAACCAAACUCCGAAUACCGUGACGACUAUCCCGGGAGUCAGUCGCCGGGCGAUAAUGUUCAGCGGCGAGAGGAAAAGAAUCCAGACCGCCGGCUAAGGUCCCAAAGCCAUGCUAAGUGCGUAAGGAAGUCCGAGUGCGAAGACAGCCAGGAUGUUGGCUUAGAAGCAGCCACCAUUUAAAAAGUGCGUAACAGCUUACUGGUCGAGCAUUUGGGCGCCGAGAAGGAACGGGACUAAGCAUGGCACCGAAGCCGCGGAUUCGUCGGGCUGCCAUCCCGCGCCCCCAACGGGGACGCGCGAUGGCGGUCCGGCGAGUGGUAGGGGAGCGCUGGUAACCGCGUUGAAGGCAUACCGUAAGGAGUGCUGGAGCGUUACCAGGUGAGAAUGCCGGUUUAAGUAACGAUAAGACAGGUGAAAAUCCUGUCCGCCGAAAGCCUAAGGUUUCCUGGGGAAGGUGAUUCCGCCCAGGGUUAGUCGGAUCCUUAGCCGAGGCCGAAAGGCGUAGGCGAUGGACAGCAGGCUAAUAUUCCUGCACCACUUCCACCGGGUUUGAACUUGCGGAGGGACGCCGGUCUUUUGGAAGAAAUGCCGACCGGAAAUGGCUAUCCCGCAGGCAAGAGGCGAGCGGUUGGCAAAUCCGCCGCACGAAAAGCCUCAAGCCGAAGGGCGAUGCUCGCUUUGGAGCAGAGUCUUCGCGAGACCGACCAAGAAAAGCUUCGUAAGGACUGGUGGGAGUGCCCGUACUAAAACCGACACAGGUAGGCAUGGCGAGAAGCCUCAGGCGCUCGAGAGAACUCUCGUGAAGGAACUAGGCAAAAUGACCCCGUAACUUCGGAAUAAGGGGUGCCUACUCACCGGUUUAACCGCUGGUGAGAGGCUGCAAGAAUCGGGCCAGGCGACUGUUUACCAAAAACACAGGUCUCUGCUAAACUCGCAAGAGGAAGUAUAGAGACUGACGCUUGCUCGGUGCCGGAAGGUUAAGGAAGGCGGUUAUCCCGAUUCGUCGGGAGAAGCUGGCGACCGAAGCCCCGGUUAACGGCGGCCGUAACUAUGACGGUCCUAAGGUAGCGAAGUUCCUUGUCGGGUAAGUUCCGACGUGCAUGAAUAGCGUAACGACUUGGCCGCUGUCUCCACGAGAGACUCGGUGAAAUAGCAGCGGUCGUGAGAAUACGACCUACCCGCGGAAAGACGGAAAGACCCCGUGGACCUUUACUGUACCCUGGUAUUGGGUUUUGAGCAUGCAUGUGUAGGAUAGGUGGGAGGCGUUGAGGCCCGGCCGCUAGGUCGGGUGGAGCCAACCUUGAAAUACCACCCUUGCGUGCUUAGGAUUCUAACCCCGGGCCGUUUCAUCCGGCUGGGGGACAGUGCUAGGCGGGCAGUUUGACUGGGGCGGUCUCCUCCCAAAAGGUAACGGAGGAGUACAAAGGUACCCUCAGCACGGUUGGCAAUCGUGCGCAGAGCGCAAGGGUAGAAGGGUGCUUGACUGCGAGUCCGAUAGGACGAGCAGACGCGAAAGCGGGUCCUAGUGAUCCGGUGGUUCUGUAUGGAAAGGCCAUCGCUCAACAGAUAAAAGGUACCCCGGGGAUAACAGGCUGAUCGCACCCGAGCGUCCAUAGCGGCGGUGCGGUUUGGCACCUCGAUGUCGGCCCAACACAUCCUGGGGCUGGAGAAGGUCCCAAGGGUUCGGCUGUUCGCCGAUUAAAGUGUUACGCGAGCUGGGUUCAGACCGGCGUGAGCCAGGUCGGUCCCUAUCUUCCGUGGGCGUAGGAUACUUGAGAGGGUGUCUCCCUAGUACGAGAGGACUCGGAGGCACGUGCCUAGGGUGUACCUGCUGUCCCGCCAGGGGCAUCGCAGGGUAGCCAAGCACGGAACGGCUAAACGCUGAAAGCAUCUAAGCGUGAAGCCUUCCUCAAGACGAGGUAUCCAGUCCCGGUUUACCGGGAGAGAGGACCCUGGAAGACUACCAGGUUGAUAGGCCGGGCGUGCAAGGACCGAGAGGUCUUUAGCCUACCGGUACUAAUGUCCGAUCACUUGACCCU
Molecule: ribosomal RNA, 3015 nt
Filed under: Planctomycetota bacterium
Lineage: Bacteria; Pseudomonadati; Planctomycetota
Description: 23S ribosomal RNA
Rfam family: Bacterial large subunit ribosomal RNA
Source: RNAcentral